This 459-nucleotide ribosomal RNA is filed under the name uncultured bacterium. Its description in RNAcentral is "bacterial SSU rRNA". It matches the Rfam family "Bacterial small subunit ribosomal RNA", at positions 330 to 801 of the family's 1533-position model. The record is from RNAcentral.
UGCGAACUCCUACGGGAGGCAGCAGUGGGGAAUAUUGCACAAUGGGGGAAACCCUGAUGCAGCGACGCAGCGUGCGGGAUGACGGCCUUCGGGUUGUAAACCGCUUUCAGCAGGGAAGAAGCGAAAGUGACGGUACCUGCAGAAGAAGUACCGGCUAACUACGUGCCAGCAGCCGCGGUAAUACGUAGGGUACGAGCGUUGUCCGGAAUUAUUGGGCGUAAAGAGCUCGUAGGUGGUUGGUCACGUCUGCUGUGGAAACGCAACGCUUAACGUUGCGCGUGCAGUGGGUACGGGCUGACUAGAGUGCAGUAGGGGAGUCUGGAAUUCCUGGUGUAGCGGUGAAAUGCGCAGAUAUCAGGAGGAACACCGGUGGCGAAGGCGGGACUCUGGGCUGUAACUGACACUGAGGAGCGAAAGCAUGGGGAGCGAACAGGAUUAGAAACCCUGGUAGUCCAGAUG